AAUAACAACAAAGAGAAUGUCUGUCUCAACUCUUUUACAAGUAAUUGUACCAAUAAAUUACAUAUCCCCUUCCUUUGUCCCACUUGAAUGAUUUUUAUGAGUAAUUUACCUAAAAAGAGAACUAUAUAUACCUUAAUUGCCCAUUAUAAGAGGAAUAGGGCAAACAAUAUAGUGUAGCACAAUAAAUUACAAUGAUUGUGUAAGAAGAAAAAAAAGUUCUUUACGCUGUCGAUGUGUAUAAGUUAAAUCCUUUAAUUUUUGGAAACAGCUUGUGCAGCUUCUUUCAUUUCCAGUAAGGCAUCCUGAAAACACUUGGCUAGAACUUUGGGAUCAGGGAUGAUAUCUUUAGCCACCAAUAUUUGCAUGUCAGCUCUUCCUGCAUAGCUCACCAUAUGCAUUGUGAUCGCAUGAGAGAGGGCAGUAGAAG
Molecule: unclassified non-coding RNA, 427 nt
Filed under: Hevea brasiliensis (rubber tree)
Lineage: Eukaryota; Viridiplantae; Streptophyta; Magnoliopsida; Malpighiales; Euphorbiaceae
Source: RNAcentral